This 472-nucleotide ribosomal RNA is filed under the name uncultured bacterium. Its description in RNAcentral is "SSU rRNA". It matches the Rfam family "Bacterial small subunit ribosomal RNA", at positions 26 to 518 of the family's 1533-position model. The record is from RNAcentral.
AGGAUGAACGCUGGCGGCGUGCCUAAUACAUGCAAGUCGAACGAGGUCUUCGGACCGAGUGGCGAACGGGUGAGUAACACGUUGGUACCUACCCCGAAGUGGGAAUAACUGCCCGAAAGGGUGGCUAAUACCGCAUAAUACCGCAAGGUUAAAGCAGUAAUGCGCUUCGGGAGGGGCCUGCGUCCCAUUAGCUAGUUGGUAGGGUAAUGGCCUACCAAGGCGACGAUGGGUAGCUGGUCUGAGAGGACGAUCAGCCACACUGGGACUGAGACACGGCCCAGACUCCUACGGGAGGCAGCAGUAGGGAAUCUUGCGCAAUGCGCGAAAGCGUGACGCAGCAACGCCGCGUGGGGGAAGAAGGCUCUCGGGUUGUAAACCCCUUUCAGUUGGGACGAAGCUUCGUCGGUUAAUAGCCGGCUGGAGUGACGGUACCUUCACAAGAAGCACCGGCUAACUACGUGCCAGCAGCCGC